Molecule: long non-coding RNA, 3520 nt
Organism: Gallus gallus (chicken)
Lineage: Eukaryota; Metazoa; Chordata; Aves; Galliformes; Phasianidae
Source: Ensembl
AAUGAAAUGCAAUGGAAUCCAAAGCAAUGGAACACAAUGCAACCCUAACCCAACGCAAAGCAAGGGAACACAACCCUCACCAAAUGCAAAGCAAUACAAUGGAACACAGUGAAAUCCAAAGCAAAGCAGUGGAACACAGCACAUCUCUAACCCAACGCAACGUGACAAAAUGAAAUGCAAUGGAAUCCAAAGCAGUGGAACACAACCCUAGCCCAAUGCAAAGCAGUGGAACACAACACAACCCAAACACAGUGGCGCACAGGGAAAUUAAAUGCGACGUGUGCUGCUGGUAUCCUUCUUGGUGUUGUUCACGUGGCCGCUGCAGCCUGGCCCUUCAGCCUGGGAUCCUGAACUGCUGCCGUGGGAAUUUCCCCAUCUCCAUUCAGCACAAAUGAGCCAGAUGACUGCAUGUGAUUCCAACACAGGUUACCUCCUCAGAGUGGAAACAUGCAGGCACUUAUUUUGUCUUAUUUCUCGUGUGUGAUGGGAAACGCUACCAGGAGACAGAAAAGCAGAGGUGCUCAACCACAGCACGGUGGAGGCACCUGCUCUGCAGUGCUUCAAUUGCCCUUUUCUCUGGCAUCCUCCCCUGCUGUGUCCUCUCUGCUCAACGCCACCUCUGUGUUCUCCCCUACAACUCCAUUGAUCUUGUGCAUUCACAGCCCUACUUUGAUUAAUCUGAUCCAUUCAGCCCUUUAUUCCCCAGUGGAAACCAUACCCAGGAGUUAAAAUAAACCUCACAAAUCGGAGGCAAUAAUUCGGGUGACAAAAAUUAGGAAGAACCCUCAUUAGGGAGAAAACAGUUGGAAGAGGGGCACAACGAGAAGGUCUCUGCGCUCCCUGCAGGAAACUUUCUUCCUAAAGUGCCGAGUGGGGGCGGUGGGCUCAGCCUUUGCUCAUGAAAUUAAUUAUGAUAAAUUAAAAGUGCCAAAGAUGAGAUGCUGCUCCCCGGGUCGCAGUGUUGGCUGUGGAGGAUGAAGGACUGCACAAAUGAGGGGGGUGAAGGCUCCAUCUGGCUCAGCACCCCAUCGACAGCCGCCCUCAAUGAGCCGGGCUGGGUUUGCUGCAGCCACUGUGUGCAGCCCGCGGUGCUGCUGUGCCAAAGAGCCGCCCGGCCCACAGCACGGAGCCCUUUUCCAGCAGUCCCUCCUCAUUUCCAGUCCUGCAGUGCUUUCCGGGCUGGAGGGCGGCCUCUGGACUCCAAAGGCAAUGACAUCACGCUGAAGCCAUCAAGCAUGUGAUUUCCCAGCCCUGAAACGAAAGCUGCCUCUCCAGGGGAGGAAGAGACGCUGUGCAUGAGCAGCUCCCUCUGCCCCGCAGUGUGUUUGAGCCACAAACAGUGCGGGAUAACGGAGCCAAGAGAGGAAUCCUGCCAGGAACUCCCAUCCCGGCUUUGGGACGGUCUCAGUCCCCCACCCCAUGGGUACAAUGGGACACGCAGAGCACAGCCGGGAGCUGCGCUUCCUGGCACCCCCACACUGCUCCUUCCUGACAGCUCUGCUCGGUUCCUUGGCAGCUGCCUCCAUUGGAAUGCUGGUGGGACGCCUGUGGGUUCUGGAAGCGCUGGGUGAGGUGCAGCCCGUGGCAUCAUACAGCCUUGGCACCAUGCAGCCCGUGGCACAGUGCAGCCAUGGCACAGUGCAGCCAUGGCACAGUGCACCCAUGGCACAGUGCAGCCCAUGGCACAGUGCAGCCAUGGCACAGUGCAGCCCAUGGCACCAUGCAGCCCAUGGCACAGUGAAGCCAUUGGCACUGCCAUGCAGAGCCGCAGCUCACCACACUGCUGGUGCUCAUGGAUGAGUUGUUGGAAGUGUCCCAGCCCGGCCAUGUGUCUGCUGUGGGAUCUCUCAUCCUGCAAACACUGCUCUGUUUCGUUUCUUCCACAUCUCACACCAUGGGCUUGCUUGCCCAUUUGCUGAGAGCCGGGCACAGCCCUGCACAGUGGCUGGGGGAUGGACAGCGUCUCCAUGGGGUUUUUGGCCAACAGUGAGCAGAAAACCCAUGGCAGAACCACCAAACCUCAGAACCAUGGAAUCAUCCACGCUGGAGAAGGCCUUCAGGAUCACCAACCAAGUCCAGCGCUCAGCCGGAGCUCUCGGGUCCCAUCACUACACCACAUCCCUAAGGGCCAUGUCCACAUGGUGGGGAUACCACCGCCCCGCUGGGCAGCCCGGACUGACCCCGCAUUGCCCUCUCCAUACAGAAAUCCCUUCUGACACCCAACCUAAGCCGGCUGCCCAUCAGCACCCCAGGUCCUUUCCCACCGGGCACCUCUCCAUCCGCUCCUCCCAAGGCCAUGUGUUUGUUGGGACCCAAGAGCAGGGCGCAGUGCUCACCCUCACUGUGUGCCAUGCAGUUGGGCUUGGCCCAUUGACGCAGCCUACACAGAUCCCUCUGCCACGUGUGGCUGUGUCCAGGAGCUGUGCUGUGUAAUUCAGAACUGCUCACACUUCACAUGGCGCUUCAGCCCAAUGGGUCACCUCUGGAGCCAUCUGUGUGACACAGGACCACCCCCAAUUAACUUCUGCUUAAGAAGACCACGUCUGGCCCUAUUUCAGAGCCUGCCAACUCCCGAACAAGUGGCUCCAGCAAUUAAUUGCGUACUUCUCUGAGCACUCCCCUCUUGCUCACCCCUGGAAGUUCGUGUAGAGAUGUUUCUUCGUUGCUAAUCUGGAUGAACAUUCUCUGGGCGUUGGGAGAUAGCCAUAGUGCAGCUUCUUCAGCAUUUCGCUGCCCCUCAGGUGCCCACCGUGAGCUGAGACACACAGCUGGGAGCUGCAUCACUCUGCAGCUGUGCUGGCAUCCAGCUGUGCUGCCCUCACACCCAGCUGUGCCAUGCUGGCAUCCAGCUGUGCUGCUCUGCAGCUGCCCUCCCAGCUCUCACGGUGCCCUCAUGGGGAAAGGUGAGUCUGCAGUGCUCCAACACAUCCCUCCGCAUGGGAACGUCUGAGGAAGAUGAGGAAGAAGAAAUGGAGCGCCAUUGCAGCUCACUGGGAGUAAAAGUCACGCGUUUCAGAGGAGACCGGGCAGGUGAUUAAUUACAAUCAGAGAAUCACUAGGGUUGGAAAAGACCAAAACCCCAAAGUUCAACCCCAGCGCGCCCCCACUGAGCGCAUCCCUCUGCUUUAACACCGUUCCCCUCCUCCCAGCCUCAGCCAUGCUGCAGAUCAAAGCAUUCCCGUCGCUCUCCGCCCUUCAGCCUCUCGCUGCCGGAUUUCGGACACGCAGUCUGGAAGCCCACAGCCCGACCUGCGGAGCCACAGCUGUGUUCUGCAGCUCUGUGCUUCCACGUCGUGCAACGCAACCUGCAGCGCUCCGCCCUCAGCGCUGCUGCUAACCGAGGGCCCUUUGCACUGCCGGCUGCUGUGUCAAUAUUUGGCCAAGUGGGUGUGUGUGUGUGUGUGUGUGUGUGUGUGUGUGCAAGGAGCGGGAGCUUCGUUUGCACCUUGCUAAUUAAGCACCUGCAGCAACAUAGCAUGGAAAUGCACCCGAGGGCCCCCCUGGAAGGGUGAAAGCAAUU